Molecule: unclassified non-coding RNA, 325 nt
Filed under: uncultured Basidiomycota
Lineage: Eukaryota; Fungi; Basidiomycota
Description: sequence contains ITS2
Source: RNAcentral
AACGCACCUUGCACCGUAUGAGCAAUUGUACGGUAUACCUGUUUGAGAAUCGUAAAAUCAAAUCUUACCCUUCGGGGUGGGGACUUGUCGAUAGGUCAAAGCAUCGAUUAAAUGUAAAAGGUUUGGAUCAGGCUGGUGGCCUGGGACACUAUGUGCUAGAGACUAGGCGGUUGUUUACUCGACCGGUCUGUCUUCUCAUGGUGCGUCCCUAGUCAUUUCAAAGCUGGCCUGGUCAAUUCGAGCCUUUAACUGCGUCAAGUAACCAAUCUUGAGCAACCUUUCUCUCUUUGAUCUCAAAUCAGGUAAGGCUACCCGCUGAACUUAA